AUUAACACCAUCACACCUUAUAUUUUCGAUUUUCCUAGAAAGACCAAUCUUUUCUAUACUACUUUCCUUGCGAGAGAUAUGUCGCCAUUAAGUUAGGAUCUAUUCAGCAAUAUUAGAAGUUCAAAACUAUUAAUUAUUUUAGUAACUAUCAGCUAGCUGUUCAGUAUUAGAUAUUAGCUAUUUAAUAUAGAAGUGUUCACUUUGGAUUAUGGUUAAAUUGUAGAAAUAGUGGUAUAUGUUUUUGACCAUAGACAAAGCACUCACUUAACCUCUAACUCUGAAAGUUGGGAGGAUAACGUUUCAUUCCAUAAACUCCUCACCCUCUAAACAUUAGCAUAAAUAAUCUCUAAACACUGGUAUAAAUAUUAUACCAUUGAACAAUGUAAAUAAGAGUUGUGUAGUGUUUUAACUUAGAUUAAAA
This 421-nucleotide unclassified non-coding RNA is filed under the name Hevea brasiliensis (rubber tree). Lineage: Eukaryota; Viridiplantae; Streptophyta; Magnoliopsida; Malpighiales; Euphorbiaceae. The record is from RNAcentral.